GAUGAACGCUGGCGGCGUGCCUAAUACAUGCAAGUCGAGCGAACGGACGAGAAGCUUGCUUCUCUGAUGUUAGCGGCGGACGGGUGAGUAACACGUGGAUAACCUACCUAUAAGACUGGGAUAACUUCGGGAAACCGGAGCUAAUACCGGAUAAUAUUUUGAACCGCAUGGUUCAAAAGUGAAAGACGGUCUUGCUGUCACUUAUAGAUGGAUCCGCGCUGCAUUAGCUAGUUGGUAAGGUAACGGCUUACCAAGGCAACGAUGCAUAGCCGACCUGAGAGGGGGAUCGGCCACAAUGGAACUGAGACACCGUCCAGACUCCUAAGGGAGGCAGCAGUUGGGAAUCUUCCCCAAAGGGCGGAAGCCUGACGGGGCAACCGCGCGUGAGUGAUGGAGGUCUUCGGAUCGGAAAACUCUGUUAUUAGGGAAGAACAUAUGUGUAAGUAACUGUGCACAUCUUGACGGUACCUAAUCAGAAAGCCACGGCUAACUACGUG
This 497-nucleotide ribosomal RNA is filed under the name uncultured bacterium. Its description in RNAcentral is "partial 16S ribosomal RNA". It matches the Rfam family "Bacterial small subunit ribosomal RNA", at positions 28 to 507 of the family's 1533-position model. The record is from RNAcentral.